This is a long non-coding RNA of Equus caballus (horse), 6080 nucleotides long. NCBI's taxonomy places the organism in Eukaryota, Metazoa, Chordata, Mammalia, Perissodactyla, Equidae. The record is from Ensembl.
CGGGGCUGCCCACCACGGAAGGCCCGGAAAGGAGGGGUCAGCAUCCCGAGGGGACAGGACCCUCCAUUGGCUCUGGCUUUUCGGGGGGGUGUGCUGACCCUAGGCCACCGUCCAGGGUGCUCUGCCCCCUGCCCCAGGCAGACCGUCUCUCUCUCAGCGUCCCGCAAGCUCAUCUCCGGGCCCCAGCCCAGCAAACCCAGGUGAGGGGCCUGCCUGGUGACCGGGGCACAUCGCCCAGGGGAGGGGCUGUUCCCAGUGGGAAAGGAGUGGCCGUGGCCACGGACUGGGGGUCCUAGUCAGGACAGACGGGAUUCCGGGAACUCCACUCACUGUCCAGAAAGUGACCCGAUAGCCACCCCAGAGUUGUCCUGACAGGACCUUAAAGCCUGGGAAGCCGACCUGCGCUGAGAGGCCUAUGGUGAUUGGGGAGGACGUGGGGGCCUCCAGCGGCCCAGGACACCAAGCGGACAGGACGGGCCCUGUACUGGGGGUCUUGGCCCAAAGCCCCCACUACACAGUGAGACAGACCUGAAACCAGAAAAGUCUUUAUUGCAAAGGUACAAAAGCGUCACAGCAGAGAUGUACAGCAAUAAAUUAGGUGGUGGCCGUGAGGGGACAGGGCAGGUGUGGGCCACGACAUAAGGUCUCUUCUCAAUAAUUUAUAUCAUGAUAAAAGCAGCACAAAAAUAAAUAUUGAAAUGAAACUGCUGGGCAGGCAGAGGCGGGGAAAACCGGUGGGUGCCGAGCUUACGAAGGGGAGGACAAACCCACGCCACAAAGACGUCCCUGCCUUUUGUCUUAAAUAAAAAACCCAUAUAUUAAAAUUGUGACAAUGACAUCUCAAUGAUCCAAAAAGAAAAGCAGGAGGGAGCGAGCCAGUCUUCCUUCCCUGGCCCCUGAUCCCGGGAGGGCAAUGGGCAGCUGCGGGGACAGCUCCUCCGAGGCCCCAGCCAGCACUCGCCCACCUGCACCCCACGGGACGGGGCGCUCUGUGAACCCGGGGCGGCCACUGGGCAGGACAGCCGGCCAGGGUGGGCAGGGGGUGCGCCCAGGUGCCCAGGCCAUCUGCGGGACCCAAGUCAGAUGGGCAGGAGGGGAGACCAAGGGCAGCGGGAGGCGACCGGGCCUCCCACCUCGGGCUGCGAGCUGGUGCCUGAGGAGCCAGGCGGGGUGGCGACAGGUUCCCACUGCCCUGCCCUCGACGGCUGCUCUGCUCUAAGAGGCUGACAGUACCCAACAGGAAAAGAGUUACGAAAAGUCUGUACGAUAAAAUGUGUAUAUAAUUUUAUAUAUAUAUAUAUAUACUUUUCUCUCUUUUUUAAAUAUUUCCCCAUGGUCCUUAUUGACAUCCAAUGUGGAUUACCUACCAUGGCUAUGCGAUCAACAGCUUUUGCUUACACACCGGGCCUUUCUGUUACACACCAGGUUGUGUAAGGAUCCAGCGCCCCAGACCCUCCGCCUUCUCCCAGGACAGGGACAAGGCCAUGUGGCAAUGCUGCUGGAGAGGCCCAGGUGCCCUGUCUGCUCCUGCCAGCAGACACAGAAGCUGGACGCAGCCCUUGGGGCUGUCAGUCCUCCCCCAACCCUGGCAUGGCUGACACCUGCUUGCUGGGGGUCUCCCUGGGUGGCAGGGCACAAGAGGAAACCGGGAGCUGGAGCCCAGCGGCUUCUGGCCAGUGAUGGGGCUCAGCAGCUCACUCAGACCCAGGGCCGUGGCCCCAGCAUCCUCCCAGGAGGGGUAGAAGUGGCCGUCCAUGCCCAGCCCACACAGGGAGCCCCCGCGGUGGCUCUCAAGGAAGGGAAGCCCCAGCAAAGGUCACCUGCCCCAGAAAGGGCAGGUGAAGGUUCCAGGGAACUCAGCACCAGGCUCGCAGAGUCCCCUCGUCUCCUCUGUGCUGACACACCAUCCAGGUGCUUCCGGGAGGCCCGUCCGGUCCGUGUGGACUUCCUGGCCCAGAGCCUGCCACCUCGCCCACCAUCACCUCCUCUGCCCCAUUCAAGCCCGCCUCGUCUUCUGAUCCCACCCAGCCCCCUGCUCUCUCACCUCCUCCAGCAGUGGGAGCCACAGGCAGCCGGGCGCCCCCCAGCUCCAUGGCCGCUCCGGAGGCCUCGCUGACAGCCCGCCGUUCCGCACAGAACCUGCUCCCCACCCACCUCCCAGCCCCCAAGGCCCAUCGCCCCCUUCCCAUGCUGGGCACCACCUUCCCGGGCUCUGCGAGGCGGCCGCAGUGGGGGCUGGGUCCCCAGGCCAGGCUGCCACUGCUCCUCAAUAGGGACCUCCUUCCGGCCACCCCGACACAGAGAGAAAACUCACAACACUCAUGCACCUGCACCCACAGGCCCCCCCAGGACCACUUGCAACCAGCCACUCCUCCCAGGCCCCUGGUGCUGCAGGUGCUCUUCUGAGGUGGCAGGGGGACAGGCACGCUGACGUGUGUUGACAGGCUGCUGGUGGGAGGGGUGGAAGACGGAGCCCUUGCCACCCAGGCCACAGGGCCAGGGACCUGCUGAGGGCCCUCCCUGCAGACAUCCCAACUCCCCCGGCACAGGACACAGGCUCCGGAAGAGAGACAGUCCGCAGAGAGCUGGCAGGGCCCAGAGGAAGGCGAGGUGCGUGUGUGUGCAUGUGCGUGUGUGUGGGCGUGUGGGCAGGCGUGCGGCACACGGGCUCACAGGCCCCUAACUCUUCAUCAGGCCCCUGUGACCUCGCCCCGCCAGGAGCCCCACGGGAGCCUGUGCUUGGACUCGGGGUUUCAGGGGUCUGCUCCCCAUGGGACCCUCCAACAAGCACGAGGGACAGCCCCUCUGGCCCCACCGCCGGCCCCCUCGCCCAACCGGGGCCGGCACUAGGAGGCGGCCGAGAAGGGCACGGAGCUGGAGAUCUCAGCGGACUUGACGAUGGUGAUGACGCUGGUGGUGGCCACCUUGGUGGGCGUGAUGGGCCCGCGCGCCACGGUGCGGGCAAAGGUCUGCAGGGCCUCGUACUUGGAGCGCAGGGCGUCCAGCUCCAGCUUCAUGCUGCUGUUCUCACGCGCCAGCUUCUCCACCUCCUGCUGCAGCUCCACGCGCUGCCGCUCCAGCUCCUCCUUCUGCGUCACCCGCUUGAUGCGGCAGCUGGCGGCGUAGCCGCGGUUCUUGAGCGUGCGCCGGCGCUGCUUCAGACGGACCACCUCCUCCUUGGUGAGGCCCCGCAGGUGCUGGUUCAGCUCCCGCACCGACAUGGACACCAGCUCAUCGUCGCUGAGCACUGGGGCGUUCUCGCCCGCCUCCUUCUUGACCUGCGGGGCCACAGCACGGGGUCAGGACCGGGGCGAGGGAGGCCUCGCUGCAGGGACCCCAGAGGACCACUUGGAACGUUGCCGUGGACGAGCCCGGCUCCUGGCAGGGCCCCCCUGCAUCGCAGGCUGGCCUUCACUCCAUCAGGGAAUGGGGACGGUCACUGUGGGGUCACUCAACAUUGUGCACAGGAUGUAAGGCAGGACGGUCCCCGAUGGGGGCCGUUGGCCCCACCUGCCAUUACCCAGUUACUGUCUGCCACCCAAACUCUGCGAGGCCGCAGCCUGCACGCGUGCUGCCCUCUGUGGGUCUCCAGCGCCUGGUGCACGACUGACACGGGCAGGGGAGCGAGGGGAAGGCGAGGCAGCCUACUGUUCCGCACCCUCGGACCCAGGAGGCCCAGCCAGGGCCUGGCGGGACACGGCCACAUCCACCUGCAGGGCCUCAGGAGGGGCUUGGAGAGGCACAGCCCACAAAUACCGAGAGUCCCCGCUCCAGCGGGACCCAGCUCUGCUCCCGAGCCAGGAGACGGCCGGCCCAAGGGCACACGCUGGCCUCCAAAGCUGAGAGCCCCAGGAGGCGGGCAGCCGGAGCCAGGCCCGGGGAGCUGGAGCAGCACCGUUCACACGUGCCCUGCCCGGGGCCUGGCGGGACCAGAGGCCGCACUGCCCACGCCAGGGUGCCGGGGCGAUGAGCACAUCCUGGCCAGGAGGCACCAUCCCUCCCGCCCCCUCCACCCAGGAGUUAUGUCCUUGGACGUAAGCCUGCGUCUCCGAAGGCUGCAACCCUCGAUUCUGUCGACAUCUCUCGGGGACACCUCCUCCCGCCCUCUUCCAGGUGACAGGCCUUCCUCCCUCACGGUCCGGGCAGUCCUGGGACAGGGGGCUGCGCGGUGGAGACGGGGUGGCCCCUUACCUUUAACGCCUUGUUCGGUUUGGGGUUAGUCGUCAUAACCUGGGACAGGCACCCGGACAGAACUGCGGAAAAUCACUGCAGGAUCACAGAACAGAAACGCACGUGGUUAGGUCCUGGCUGCGCUGCCGUGACAAGUGACCUGAAGCAGGGAUGUCCCACUGCAGAGACGCUCCGAGGAGGCUCAGCUCCUCGCACUGUGCCAUCCAGUCAGCCCCACAAAAGCAAGGAGGAGCCCAGCCUGGCCUGAGAGCUCCCCAGGGGGGCACCCUGGCCGGGCCUGAGCCUCUGCUCGGCCGCGCCCCCCACUCCAGCAUCAGCCCAGGGAGCCGCCCAGACCCACCUUGUCCCAGUGCCCGGUAGCCACACGGCCGUCCCGCGCUGCCCGCCGGGCCUGUGCUGUGAGCACCAGCGCCUUGGGGUGAGGCCAGGUGUGAGCAGCUGUUGCUUCCUGUUCUGACUCCCACUCUGAGCUCCGACGUUCGCACCUGCGGGGCACAGGAGGCCACAGUGAAGGGCCGAGGCACGCAGCGGCCAGGCCCCCUCCCGAGAACAGCCGUGCCCAGCACUUGAGCAGUGCGCCGGCCAGGGGCAGCACCCUGCCCCGCCAAAAGCCUGUCACCCCCGACCCAGCCUGGCUCCCCGAGAAGCAGGGCCCCUUCGGGGAGCCCCUGCCCUUGCAGAGCUCACCCCAACGAGGGACGGGUGGAGCCCUGUGUCGGCCCCAGCCCGGCCCCGCCCUCCCGGCAGACCCACCUCCGCGAAGGGCACUGCAGCUGUGACAUCACCGCCGCCACCUAGACUGCCCCACAGCCAUGACCUGAGGCCCAGACGGUGGCCAGAGGCUCCCCACGCCAGCCAGCCCGGACCCGGGAGGUGGGAGCCACCACCUCACGCGCUCAUGGACUGUCUGGCGGGAGUCGUCCCCGCCGCCCGCCAGCCCCCCUACGCCCGCCCUUCUCAUUUUCGCGUCUGCAUUGUGUCACACAUUCUAAUCAUUCAUGAAAAAGCCAGCCAAAGCAUCCCAAGCAUGAUUCCCCUCUGAUAGUUGCCAUGGUGACCUUGGGAAGUAGCCAACCCCUGAUGGUCGCCAUGGAAACAGAGAAGCCCACAGCAACAAUGGCUUCGGGCUGGCGGUGCAGACACGGCAGGUUGCGGGACAGUAAACAAACCCUUGGUGCCCUGGCAGCCAGGGGGGCAGGAGGGGAACAGGCACCUGGCACACUGACGCCAGCUUACGGGAUCAGGGUCCGCUCCCCAGGUUCCAAACGCCACGUGAAGUGAACUGAGCAGAGAGACCGUCAGAGAAACGCGCCCAAGGAGGGGAAAUGGGGCCCCAGAGACGGAGCCGCAUCAAAGCCUCCAUCUGGGGGGAGCGAGACUCAGGGGGAUGGGCUCCACAACGCCCACAGUCCUGGGACCCUCACUGCAGCAUGGCCUGGGCCUCCACCCAUUGGCCCUGCCGCCAAGGGCCCGCCCGCCCCUCACCCCAGAGGCUGCCAACACGACAGAGGGGCCGGCACCCAGGCCUGCAGACGCCGACUGCCCCUUGCAUCGUGGCUGCUCUCCCAGGUCGCCUGUGACUGUAAACAAACUCCGCAGAGUGAAAGCGUGCACGGCGGACAAAGAACAGACCGGAACCCGACCUCACGCAGUGGCAGCCUGGGCGCUGGAGAAAGGGCUGGAACGCAGCAAGCCCCGCACUCAGGAAGAGCGACUCCCCCAGUAGCCUCGACUCAACUCCCAUUUUUAGCAACCACCUUGAAAGUAAGCGACGCUGAACUUGGACCCGGGCCCUUAAAGUCCAGCGACCUUCAAGCACAAAAGGAAAUGCGCUCCGGGGAGAAGCCUCGCUUUGUGUUUUUGAGUUAAUAAACAUUUUAUUUUGGAAU